Molecule: transfer RNA, 76 nt
Filed under: Ruminococcus bicirculans (ex Wegman et al. 2014)
Lineage: Bacteria; Bacillati; Bacillota; Clostridia; Eubacteriales; Oscillospiraceae
Also listed under: 7 other names
Description: tRNA-Thr
Rfam family: tRNA
About the family: Transfer RNA (tRNA) molecules are approximately 80 nucleotides in length.
Source: RNAcentral
GCUAGUAUGGCUCAGUUGGUAGAGCAGCUCAUUCGUAAUGAGCAGGUCGUCGGUUCGAGUCCGACUACUAGCUCCA